CCUACGGGAGGCUGCAGUGGGGAAUAUUGCACAAUGGGCGCAAGCCUGAUGCAGCCAUGCCGCGUGUGUGAAGAAGGCCUUCGGAUUGUAAAGCACUUUCAGCGGGGAGGAAGGCGUUAAGGUUAAUAACCUUGGCGAUUGACGUUACCCGCAGAAGAAGCACCGGCUAACUCCGUGCCAGCAGCCGCGGUAAUACGGAGGGUGCAAGCGUUAAUCGGAAUUACUGGGCGUAAAGCGCACGCAGGCGGUCUGUCAAGUCGGAUGUGAAAUCCCCGGGCUCAACCUGGGAACUGCAUUCGAAACUGGCAGGCUAGAGUCUUGUAGAGGGGGGUAGAAUUCCAGGUGUAGCGGUGAAAUGCGUAGAGAUCUGGAGGAAUACCGGUGGCGAAGGCGGCCCCCUGGACAAAGACUGACGCUCAGGUGCGAAAGCGUGGGGAGCAAACAGGAUUAGAUACCCGAGUAGUC
This 465-nucleotide ribosomal RNA is filed under the name uncultured Klebsiella sp. Its description in RNAcentral is "bacterial SSU rRNA". It matches the Rfam family "Bacterial small subunit ribosomal RNA", at positions 338 to 795 of the family's 1533-position model. The record is from RNAcentral. Lineage: Bacteria; Pseudomonadati; Pseudomonadota; Gammaproteobacteria; Enterobacterales; Enterobacteriaceae.